Molecule: non-coding RNA, 201 nt
Organism: Oryza meridionalis
Lineage: Eukaryota; Viridiplantae; Streptophyta; Magnoliopsida; Poales; Poaceae
Source: Rfam
UGCCGGUGGAAGUAAAUCACUUAUACCCAACGUUUAACUGUUUGUCUUAUAUAAAAUUUUUUAUUAGUAUUUUUAUUUUUAUUUAGAUGAUAAAACAUAAAUAGUAUUUUAUGAGUAACUAUUUUUUUUAUUUUUUUAUAAAUAUUUUAAAUAAGACGAACGGUCGAACGUUGGACACGGAUCCUUACGACUGUAUUUAUU